UGCUACUCCAUCUUUCCUUGCUCUCUGAUAAUCAGCCAUUCUUGACGUGAAAAUGCAAGUUGGCCCUAUAGAACAUAAACACGUCGUAGGUAUCAGAGAUGGGAUCUGGAAGCUGCCAGCACAUACGCCCAGAUCGAGCAAGAAUGACAACACCCCAGCUAUCUCCAUCACCAACUCCUUCAAGAAUGUGACGAAUAACUAAUCAAUCAUCAAUAAAAUUGGAAAAUAAAACUGAAACUUCUUACCCACCAAUAUUGAUCUGAUUUCUCAUAAUACAAGAGUUCACGUAAACUGCAGAAAUUUCUAGGGGUAGCUCGACAUGACUUUUCUAGCUAGCAAUGCACUCAGCUUCAAGUGAAAAUUCAGCUCACAAUUUGGACAAGUAGUGAUCUAAAGCGUCUUAUAUUUGCUUACAGAGGGAGUACAUAAUAUGAAAACUAUUAUAAACGUACUAUAUAAUACACAGAGUAUGUGAGGUCAACUCAACACUUAAAAUAAUCAAACUGUACUUUAUUAAGUCUCUCUAAUUUUCCCCACCGGUGACAUGGAAGCGAUGCAUCAAAUGAGUGUCAGUGGUACCCCCCCCCCCCCAGCAUCGGCGGUUGCUAGAGAGGAUAGCAGGCGAAUCCCACGAUGACGAGCGAGCAUGAACAUUCGGCGUGCUUGUAUGGAGCUCAAAAUAUUGGUGAUAUGGAUGAUUAAGAAAGUGCGACAUUUGCCAGCAAGCUCACAAUAUGUAAAUAUUGGUACAUUUUUUUCCCUAUGGUCCUAGAAGCCAGCAAUUUGGUAUGCAUAAAACAAACAUGAACCGAAACUUGAGCAUAUAAGGGUGCCUAAUGUUUGAAAUAAUAGCUGCAAAGAGCUGGGUUUUACUAACUUGGCAUACAAAUUAAUUGCACAAGACUUGCUUUGUAUGGACAGAAAGUUAGAAAGACAUCUUUUAGAAAGAUGCUACCCAUAUAUGAGAAACAACAAUGUGCUUUGAUUUUUAACUCGUUUUGCCAAGCAGCACUACUAAUUUAGUAACAUGCUAGUGUAGGCAAACAACCUCAUGUCAUAAUAAUUGAUGCGGCAUCAUGAGCUUUUACUGAAAUAUUUGGAGCAGAUUGCUACAUGUAAGAGAUUCAUGGGAAAAGAUUCGGACCAAUGUGUUGAAACAACACUUGUUAGUUGCAAUACAUGAUUCACAGCUUUUAUCCUAUCAUGCUAACUACACAUGGAAUUUAAUCACACAACAACAUUCAUUCCUUACAAAACUUGAUAUGUUUUAUUAAGACUCGUACAAAUAUACUUUUAGACAUGAGGAUCAGAAACUAACCUGGAAAGCACAAUUGUUAGGUGACGCCUCAACAUCCAUAUCAUAGUUUCGCUACUUCCCAUAAGAUUCCUAGUGAAGCAAGAAAAAUAUGCUUUUCAGAUUUGCUAGUUGCAGCCUCAAAUCCUACCUACCAAUUUGUUCAUAAUAAACAGAAUUCAUGUCAAGAAAAGAAAAGGUUACCCCAAACAAAUGUGCACCCGACUUAAUCUCUCUCAACAGAACUGCAGUGCACAUGUUUCUCUCUAGCAAAUAUCUUCCUUGCUGCAUUUCUUUCAGUCUGGAUGGAUCUCCUCGCUUCCAAAGGCACGAACAAGAUUACUGCAUGCAAAAGUACUGCGAAAACAAGAUUGAUACAAGUUAAUACAAGAUUCUACUUUGCUUCAUUGCGAUCCCUACAAAAACACUGUGGGCUGCCCCUUUUUGGUGAGUGGA
Molecule: long non-coding RNA, 1750 nt
Filed under: Triticum aestivum (bread wheat)
Lineage: Eukaryota; Viridiplantae; Streptophyta; Magnoliopsida; Poales; Poaceae
Description: long non-coding RNA (TAES_LNC011076)
Source: RNAcentral